Long non-coding RNA from Peromyscus californicus insignis, 1874 nucleotides. RefSeq lists it as uncharacterized. Lineage: Eukaryota; Metazoa; Chordata; Mammalia; Rodentia; Cricetidae. The record is from RefSeq and is a predicted model, not a curated record. The transcript is spliced from 3 exons.
GACGACUUCAAUAAGCCUGUUCCUCUCCACUUGGUGGUUAAUUCACUGGGCUCAGAAGACACUCCUACUGGGCAUUUUGAGCUGAAAGUUGGCAGAACAAGGCUCCAUGAAGGAAGGAAGCAGCUGCAAAAAGAAGAGGAAGAAAUGCUUAAGCAGCGAAGCGUUGAGGCCGAACUCACUCCUGGCUCAGCGUCAUUCAGGUUCCUCCAUUAUAAAGUCAUCCUGGUAUGAAGUCCAAGGCCAAGGUGACUUCUCAAUUGUUUCCUAGGGUCGACCUUAGCCCAGUAACCCUGAGUCUAUGAGCAGGAUGACGUUUCCAGAGCACAGCUCUAAUCCGUGGUCCCUCUAUUGGGUACAGAAAGCAGAGCAUUGGGCAUCCACAGUGUGCCAGGCAGUUGGGCUCCAGGCAGAUAAUGGCAAGCAAACAAAUAAAUUCCCCGCCUUCAUGAAGCUCCUAGUCUGGCAGAGGAAGCCAGGUGGAUCCAGAUACCUCUGGCUGUUUUCUCUCUCAAAUCUACAAUAAAAACCUUCCCCUUAAUGCCAUGGAGCAUACCAUAGAAAAGUUGUCAGUUUAUACAUCAACAAGCAGCUGAGUGUGCCUCAUGAUAGAAGAAGGAUGAAUGAGGACAGACAGACCCUGGAGCAGCCACUGCCAUAGGCUCAGCUGGACAUUCCUGUCAUCCCUGUCACGGCAAACGGGCAAAGUCCAAGGAAACUCAGGAUUGCUCAUUUUUCGUCUGGAUUUUUUUGGGUGUGUGUAUGUGAAGGGGUCAUGGGAUGCCUUUAAAAAGUUUUGAUUUGCUCUCAUUACUUAAAAGCAUGGUUUUAAAUACAAAUAUGAUGGCUCGGAAAGAUGGCCCAGAAGUUAAGAGCAAGUACUGUUAUUGUGAAGGACCCGAAUUCCAUUCCCAACGCGUGCCUCAGGUGGCCCACAACUGUCGAGGCAUCCAGCCUCAGGUUGUCAGAUACCUCUGGCCUCCACAGGUGCCUGUACUCAUGUACACACACCCACACGCUGACAGAGGCACAAAAUUAACAUCAAAAACAAUUUUUUAAAUAAAAACACAGUUCCCUGUCUUCUCAUGUGGGAAAGUCAAAACGGCACCUUCCUGGGUUCACUGCCCCCACUGCAGCCAUCAGAUGAGAGGCAGCUGCUCUCAGGCCCUCUGGGCUCUCUUCCGCGGCCUGCACAUUUGCUUCACCAGCCUGACCCUGGUAGAUAUCUAAGGUUAUUACCCUCACCUUCUGCUAUGGUUGAGAAAUAUGUUCCCCAAGGCCCAGGUAUUAAAAAUUUGGUUUUCCCUGUUCUUGGCACUCUUGGGAGAACAUGGAACCUUAGAAGUGGGGCCUCCUGGGAGGUCUUGAAGUCAUUGGAAAUGUCCUUGGAGGAGAUACUGGGGCCCUAGUUCCUUCCUUCCCUUCUCGUUGGCUGUGAGGUGAGCAGCUUUGCUCCACCAUGUUGUCCCAUAUCAUAAUGUACCCACCUGUCACAAGCCAAGAGCAAUGGGACCACGUGCCAAAGCCUCCCAAACCGUUAGCAAAUGUUCUCACUGUAAGUCGAUCUCCCUUGGAUAUUUGUUAUAGUACCAGACAGCUGAUUAACACAACCCGGAAAGAAGAACCCCACAUUCAGACCCAUGCAGGCAUAUAUGAGACAAGCUACUUCCUGUGUCUAGCUUGGUGUCCCCAUCCAUUUGAUGGAGAUUGACUAGACUUCACCCAAGAAUAUGCAUUUUAAGUUGGAGGCUGCAUAUGAGAUUCCAUCUGGACAAAUUCUGCUGCUCUUGAUUUGAUGAACCCUGCUAUGGGAUGUUCUCUAUGCUAUGAAUGUGUUGCUCUGAUUGGUUAAUAAAUAAAGUGCUGAUUGGCCAGUA